Molecule: long non-coding RNA, 814 nt
Filed under: Equus asinus (donkey)
Lineage: Eukaryota; Metazoa; Chordata; Mammalia; Perissodactyla; Equidae
Description: lncRNA (ENSEASG00005026671.1)
Source: RNAcentral
CAGCCAUCUCUGGGCUCCUCGCCUCUCCCUCGGCCCUCCCAAGGACUGGGCUCCCCGAAAUCCUGGAAUGGGGCUUGAUGCUCCCCAUUCUACCCUGAGAAUGACUGUGCUCAGGCGGAAGGGAAGAUCCUGAGCUGGAAGCCACAACCUUUCUUCCUCUAGCAACAGGUUUACUUCCUCUUUUCCUUCUCUCCUGUAGCCUCUGCUGGCUCCUUGGGCCUCGGAACCGCGUGGGUCACUCCUGCAGUAGAAGCAGGCAUCUGCACAGGCUGUUGGAUGAAACCCAGAAGGAAAAGUAGAGGCACAUAACUCCCUCACGUGCCUUCUGGUAACCUUGGGAUUUCUGGGACUCCAGCCUCCCCCAUCCCACUUCAUUCUUUCCUUUGCUUCGCCUCAGUCAGCCUCCUGGCAACCCUUGGCAGCUGGGGCUGCCCCAGGAUUUCCUCUUGCCCAGCAAUCUCCGGGGCAUAGGUGCCCACCCCAAUAGCUCUGCCCUCCGGCCUUACAUUGCUCCUCUGCUUGGUGGCCAGAAGCCUCAUCUUGGGGAGCAGCCAAGAUCAGAGAGGCUAGUGUGGGCAUCACAACUCGACUAAGACGGCUGAGCCCUGGAAAUCCCACGGACACUCUGACCUACACACCGGCCCAGGGAGCCCCAUGGAAUCUGGUUGUUGCAGUGGCUCAGGAGACGUUUCCCAUAGCACACGUUUCCACUGACCAAAGUCACCAUGAGGUCAAGAUGAGUCUAUGCUAUAGGGAAAAUCAGGGUGGUGUAGUGGGUUCAAGUCUGUCCCCCCAAAAUAUGUCCAGCUCCUAA